RNAcentral lists this non-coding RNA (100 nucleotides) under Ramlibacter tataouinensis. RNAcentral describes it as "TPP sequence". It matches the Rfam family "TPP riboswitch aptamer (THI element)". Rfam says of the family: Vitamin B(1) in its active form thiamin pyrophosphate (TPP) is an essential coenzyme that is synthesised by coupling of pyrimidine and thiazole moieties in bacteria. The previously detected thiamin-regulatory element, thi box was extended, resulting in a new, highly conserved RNA secondary structure, the THI element, which is widely distributed in eubacteria and also occurs in some archaea. Analysis of operon structures identified a large number of new candidate thiamin-regulated genes, mostly transporters, in various prokaryotic organisms. Lineage: Bacteria; Pseudomonadati; Pseudomonadota; Betaproteobacteria; Burkholderiales; Comamonadaceae. The record is from Rfam by way of RNAcentral.
CGCAUCCGCUAGGGGUGUUGCGCCGCAAGGCGUGACUGAGACAGUCCCUUUGAACCUGAUUGAGGUAAUCCUCGCGCAGGGAAGGCAACGAUGACCACGA